RNAcentral lists this ribosomal RNA (514 nucleotides) under uncultured bacterium. Its description in RNAcentral is "bacterial SSU rRNA". It matches the Rfam family "Bacterial small subunit ribosomal RNA", at positions 15 to 518 of the family's 1533-position model. The record is from RNAcentral.
GAUUAUGGCUCAGGAUGAACGCUAGCUACAGGCUUAACACAUGCAAGUCGAGGGGCAGCAUUGGGAUAGCUUGCUAUUCAGAUGGCGACCGGCGCACGGGUGAGUAACGCGUAUCCAACCUUCCUGCCAGUAGGGAACAGCCCGGCGAAAGUCGGAUUAAUGCCCUAUGUUCUUCAAUGCGGACAUCUAAGUUGAAGGAAAGAUUCAUCGCUGGCAGAUGGGGAUGCGUCCGAUUAGCUUGCCGGCGGGGUAACGGCCCACCGGGGCGACGAUCGGUAGGGGUUCUGAGAGGAAGGUCCCCCACACUGGUACUGAGACACGGACCAGACUCCUACGGGAGGCAGCAGUGAGGAAUAUUGGUCAAUGGGCGUAAGCCUGAACCAGCCAAGUAGCGUGCAAGGAUGACGGCCCUACGGGUUGUAAACUGCUUUUAUGCGGGGAUAAAGUGCGGCACGUGUGCCGCUUUGCAGGUACCGCAUGAAUAAGGACCGGCUAAUUCCGUGCCAGCCGCGGC